AAAGGGGUUAAUCAAAUACUCACUACUCAUAAGGUAGGUUAUUUUUGGUUGUGUUCAAAAUCAGCAAAGUGCCUUGAUCAUUUCAAUACUUUCACAAAUUUACAAUAAUUACAAGAUUAAACAUGAAUUAACCGAGUUAAACACAAAGUCAUCAGUCAUCCAUAGCAAUAUAGUGAGCAAUAAAGAGUUUCUCAUAAUUUAUGGUCUAGAUCUAAGUGAUUCAAGAAUUUGAAACAAAUUUACAAAAUGGAGUAAGAAUUGACAUUUGC
This 269-nucleotide long non-coding RNA is filed under the name Lathyrus oleraceus (garden pea). Its description in RNAcentral is "Pisum sativum (pea) long non-coding RNA (PSAT_LNC023376)". Lineage: Eukaryota; Viridiplantae; Streptophyta; Magnoliopsida; Fabales; Fabaceae. The record is from RNAcentral.